UUCCCGCAGCCCCGGAGGCCCCGGAGGCCCCGCAGCCCGGGCCCCCCCCCCCCGGGUUCCUCCCCGCGGCUGUGGUGGGGUCUUUUUCUUUUUUUUCUUCCCCCCAAACCGGCCCCGUUCCGUGUCCCUGCGCUUCGCGGGGGACACGGCCUGGCCGACCCCCGGGCUGCGGCACGGGACGCUGGCGGGGAGCCGGGCCCGCGGGCACGGAGCUCGGUGUCGGUGCGAAGCGCGAGCACGGUUGGUGCUGCAGAGAAUCCAUCUUAAUCACAGGAAGAACUGGACACAGCUUUCACAACUGAAAAAUCAACAGAACUACAGUUUUGACAAGAAGUCAUUUAAAUUGUGAAGAAAAACCAGCAAGAAAGCCAACAACUGCUGGAUCGUGUCAAGGCUGAUUCUGUUCUUGCAUAAAUUUAAUGCAUUUCCCAGUAUGAGAAUACACUGGUAGUACUAUAAAGAAGCAAGAGAAUUCUUGAAAGAAGGUCUCUGCCAUUACUUCUCUCCUGGGCUAUUAGAGAUUCAUCUUCCCCCAUCCAUCUGCAUUUUGUGGGCUUCCCAUAUGCUUAAUGCAUUAACUGGGCCUGCCCAUCCAGUACCAAUUGGUUUAUGUUUCCUGGGAGAAUUUCCCUUGUGUUAACUUACUUUGCUUCCAAUCUGCCUGCCAGGCAGCCACAUGCUGGUCAAAUCAACCUCGUCACACUUAAGGGGAUUGCAGGCCAAAAAGGCACAUGAAUAAGUGAAGAGCUCCUUCUCUGGCACCCUGGGCUCCUCCAGCAGGCACUGCAGUACAGAAGUCCCUUAUUGUCAAGGCAGCAUUCCCCAGAGAAGGAAGCAGAAGACAUCACCCAGAGGCUUUGAAGAUCUGGAUUAUUUUUAUAAAGCACUGAACACAAUAGACUGACUAAUGCACUCCAGGCCCUAGGCCAUACUGUCAACUGAAGGGUGACCAGUCCUCUUGGACUGGUACACCUCUGCACUGCUGGAAGCAAGGCUAAGAGAGCUAGGACUGCCCUCAGGCAACGGACUCCCGGGUGCCAUAAAGCUGCCAUAGGAGUCCAGUGCUGUCUGCUCCUUCACUCUUUCCAGAGAAUAUUCAUAGAAAUGCUGCAGGAGAGGGCACAGGUAGAGCCUUUGGGAGUCAUCAUGUCUGCUAUCAGUAAAAACAGCCUUUAGGGACACUAGACGGAUGCCACAGGCCAGCUGGGACAGAGUCAUGGACCAGCCCUGGCAGGAGUGGAGAUGUGACUUAGAGCCACAGAAGCCUCUCAUCUUCCUUCUAUGAAGACUUAAUAAUCAAGCCUGGCACAGUGAAGCAAUGACAGCCUAUUUCUAUUAUCUGUUACCUCAUUUCCAAACCAAAGAACACAAAAUAGGUGUUUCAAUUACAAAAAGACUGCACAUUCACUCCUGGGAAAGGUCUGUCCCUUGAUCUGCAGGCACGUUUUGUGCAUGGUAACAGAUUAAUGAUGUCCACAGUGUGUUUAGGUGCUGCCUGCACAUUUAUGUUCAUGGUCUGCUCCUGGCUACAAUUUCAGUAUGCACAGUCCUAACUCCUACAUGUCUGCUCUGUUUGGAAAGAUGACAGAGUCCAUGGUCUCACAGAAAGUUGUGCAAUAGGUUUCAUUUUUGCUGCAUGUUCUCACCACAGCAGGAAACUGUAAGGCCAUCUGGAAGGAGGAUUGUACAAAGGGAAAAAUAAAGGCAGUAAAAAGAAAAACAGUGCUUCUGAAGCAUCAGUGACCAGCCAGGUAGCACAAGCAGCCUAUGGUGAACUGAAAUAAUGUAAACUGAAGAACAGAUGUCAGGUGCAUGGGAAAGUUGCCCUAGAUACAAAGCAUGAGAAAUGUUAGCAUAAGAUGCCAGGGAAAACCUAAAUGCUAAGAAAAAAGAUAACAUUCUGAUGUAUGCACAUAAAACUGUGUUAGGGACUUCUGUAUAUGUGAUGUUGUAUUGCAACAAAGCAAAACCUCUUACCUGU
Apus apus (common swift) is the source of this 1981-nucleotide long non-coding RNA. RefSeq lists it as uncharacterized. The record is from RefSeq and is a predicted model, not a curated record. Lineage: Eukaryota; Metazoa; Chordata; Aves; Apodiformes; Apodidae. The transcript is spliced from 4 exons.